UAGAGCAGUAGGUAGCUCGUUGGGCUCAUAACCCAAAGGUCGCAGGUUCGAGUCCUGC
RNAcentral lists this transfer RNA (58 nucleotides) under Flavobacteriaceae bacterium. RNAcentral's name for it is "tRNA-Met". It matches the Rfam family "tRNA", at positions 8 to 63 of the family's 71-position model. Rfam says of the family: Transfer RNA (tRNA) molecules are approximately 80 nucleotides in length. Their secondary structure includes four short double-helical elements and three loops (D, anti-codon, and T loops). Further hydrogen bonds mediate the characteristic L-shaped molecular structure. tRNAs have two regions of fundamental functional importance: the anti-codon, which is responsible for specific mRNA codon recognition, and the 3' end, to which the tRNAs corresponding amino acid is attached (by aminoacyl-tRNA synthetases). tRNAs cope with the degeneracy of the genetic code in two manners: having more than one tRNA (with a specific anti-codon) for a particular amino acid; and 'wobble' base-pairing, i.e. permitting non-standard base-pairing at the 3rd anti-codon position. Lineage: Bacteria; Pseudomonadati; Bacteroidota; Flavobacteriia; Flavobacteriales; Flavobacteriaceae. The record is from RNAcentral.